CAAAGUGUAGCUUAAACAAAAGCACCUGGCUUACACCCAGAAGAUUUCAACCAAUUAGACCACUUUGA
This 68-nucleotide transfer RNA is filed under the name Myrmecophaga tridactyla (giant anteater). RNAcentral's name for it is "tRNA-Val". It matches the Rfam family "tRNA". Rfam says of the family: Transfer RNA (tRNA) molecules are approximately 80 nucleotides in length. Lineage: Eukaryota; Metazoa; Chordata; Mammalia; Pilosa; Myrmecophagidae. The record is from RNAcentral.